CCUACGGGAGGCAGCAGUGGGGAAUUUUGGACAAUGGACGCAAGUCUGAUCCAGCCAUGCCGCGUGUGGGAAGAAGGCCUUCGGGUUGUAAACCACUUUUGUCAGGGAAGAAACGGCUCGGGUUAAUACCUUGGGCUAAUGACGGUACCUGAAGAAUAAGCACCGGCUAACUACGUGCCAGCAGCCGCGGUAAUACGUAGGGUGCAAGCGUUAAUCGGAAUUACUGGGCGUAAAGCGUGCGCAGGCGGUUAUGCAAGACAGAUGUGAAAUCCCCGGGCUCAACCUGGGAACUGCAUUUGUGACUGCAUGGCUAGAGUACGGUAGAGGGGGAUGGAAUUCCGCGUGUAGCAGUGAAAUGCGUAGAUAUGCGGAGGAACACCGAUGGCGAAGGCAAUCCCCUGGACCUGUACUGACGCUCAUGCACGAAAGCGUGGGGAGCAAACAGGAUUAGAUACCCUGGUAGUCCACGCCCUAAACGAUGUCAACUGGUUGUUGGGAGGGUUUCUUCUCAGUAACGUAGCUAACGCGUGAAGUUGACCGCCUGGGGAGUACGGCCGCAAGGUUGAAACUUAAAGGAAUUGACGG
RNAcentral lists this ribosomal RNA (585 nucleotides) under uncultured bacterium. RNAcentral describes it as "bacterial SSU rRNA". It matches the Rfam family "Bacterial small subunit ribosomal RNA", at positions 338 to 916 of the family's 1533-position model. The record is from RNAcentral.